GGAGAAUGGCGUGAACCCGGGAGGCGGAGCUUGCAGUGAGCCGAGAUCGCGCCACUGCACUCCAGCCUGGGUGACAGAGCAAGACUCCGUCUCAAAAAAAAAAAAAAAAUACUGUAAUAAACUGUUAAUGAGGAGGACAGAAAGAAAAAAGAAGGCAGUCUAUCAUUCACAUGUCUAAAAUAGUGCUCGGAAAAGGUGGAGAUGCUCCCUUCUCCGAGAGCUUUAAAAUGAAACUUUAAGGGCACAAUGUGGUGCUCUAGAAGGUAUGACAUGAUAUUAAAAUGAGUUCCCUCUGUCUUAGAUGCAGCUGCAGCCCAGAAGCAAAAUAAAUAACAGAAGGUGGCAAGCCCCCUACUUCAAGGUGGAGUGUUGGACUACCAAGGCAGGACCAGCAAAGGUUUUGUGAGCUACAGAAACAGAGCACCCAGGCUGGAAUACAGCGGCGCGAUCUCAGCUCACUGCAACUUCCAUCUCCCAGGGAAUGCUUGACAUGGGGCUCCACACUGAGGACUCUCAGAGCUGCUACGAGGGACCUGAAGACCUGAGGUCUAGGGUGAGAAGCAUCUGCCUUCAUCGACUUUAUGGACAAAGAAGGAAUGGUUUUUGAGGGUGGGGAUAUUUUUUGGUGGGCUCAGCCCGUCCUCACCUGUAUGUUACUUCUUGUCACUGAGUCACUUCCUGCUAUAAUAAUAAUAAUAAUUAUUAUUAUUAUUAUUUUGAGAUGGAGUCUCACUCUGUCGCCCAGGCUGGAGUACAGUGGCGCGACCCUGGCUCACUGCAAACUCCGCCCUCCAGGUUCAAGCAAUUGUCCUGGCUCAGCCUCCUGAGCAGCCGAGAUUACAGGAGCCUGCCACCAUGCCUGGCUAAUUUUUGUAUUUUUAGUAGAGAUGGGGUUUCACCAGGUUUGCCAGGCUGCUCUCGAACUCCUGACCUCAGGUGAUCUGCCUGCCUUGGCCUUCCAAAGUGCUAGGGUUACCGGCUUGAGCCACUGCGGCCUAUAAUCUCAGACUGGUCAAUAAUGGUUUUGGUAAAAUCACAACGAACCUGUUGUUUCUAUUCAGUCACGUACUUGAUCUAUGACUCUGAGCAAGUUGUUUCACCUGAGUCUUAAUUUCUUUCCCUGUAAAAUGGGCAUAAUGGGACCAUCUCAUCAUACUGGUUAAGUGUUGCAGGGACCAGAUGAGAACAAGGGAAAGCACUUAGAAAAGGUUGUUAUCUGGCUAGGUGCAGUGUAAUCCGCCUGUAAUCCCAGCACUUUGGGAGGCUGAGGCGGGUGGCUCACUUGAGGUCAGCAGUUCGAGACCAGCCUGGCCAACAUGGCGAAACCCUGUCUCUACUGAAAAUAAAAAAAUUAUCUGGGCAUGGUGGCGGAUACCUGUAAUCCCAGCUACUCUGGAGGCCGAGUCAAGAGAAUUGCUUGAGCCUGGGAGGUUGAGACUGUAGUGAGCUGAGAUUGUGCCACUGCACUCCAGCCUGGGUGAUAGAGGGAGACUCAGUCUCAGGAAAAAAAAAAAAAAAAGGUUAUUAUCUAACUAGGAGGUGGAAUUAGUACAGUUACUUGCAUUUGCCAGAUCACGGGAAACCCAAAAGUUACAGUAAUGUCGGCCAGGCUGCUGAGAGCCCUAUCCCAUCAUCAACACAUAUUAGAAUCAAGCCUUACCUAGGCAGCCUGCUACUUCUGGGUUCCACAGCAACACGAUGUCUUUCCUGUCCCUGCUGGAGUAAGUGAGCACACUGGUUUUCCUCCAAAGUUCUUUCUUUUUCCCAAGACAAAUGUCCAUCUUCAAUUUCAUUUUCCUCUUUCUCCUUCUUGCCCAUCUAUUUCCCACUCCCGUUUGAUCACUCACUCAAACUGCCCGUUCCCCUCACCCUGGCCCCCUUCCUCUCAUUACCCUUCCUUGGUCCCAUUGACCUGACAGGCUUUUCCCCAGCCCUUCCUCCUCCUAGCCUACCCACUCUUUUUGCACUUAUUCCUCCCCUCUCUCCCACCUCCUUGUCCUGAAUGCCCAUUUCAGCCUGAGACACUACUCUGUGUCGGCCUCUUUCCCUCCUCUCUGCUGAUGCUGGCCUUAGCCAUUUCCGUGCAUCAUUCAGUUUCUCCCAGUCAGGCGUUGGAAGUGCAAAGCUCUCAGCAGCACCCAGCCUUCAGCAUGUGGAUGGGGGUUCUAGGGGUGUGGAGAGGCACCUGAGAAGGACAGUACACCCGGUGCUUGCUGAGGGAUUGAAGUCUGCAGAGCUAUAAAUUUAAACCUCUUUUCUUCUACAUUGGGCUCAGGAGUCUUGAGUGAUUCCAAACUGCUCCCCACCAGUUCAUUUCUUUCCAGCCCUGAAUGAUCACUCUAGGCAGAGUCAGAAUAUAUAGUGAAAAGAGCAUGGCCUUUGGGAUCAGGCAGACCUGGGUUCAAAUCCUUACUCCACCACUUAAAAAAUUUUUAUUUUUUAAUUUUUGUGGGUACAUAGUAGGUGUAUAUAUUUUGAUACAGGAAUGUAAUGUAUAAUAAUCACUUAAGAAUAAAUGGGGUAUCUAUCACCUCAAGCAUUUAUCUUUUUUGUUACAAACAAUUGAAUAAGUUAUUUUCUAAUGUACAAUUAAAUUAUUUUUGACUAUAGUCACCCUGUUGUGCUAGCAAAUACUGUCUUAUUCAUUCUAAAUUUUUUUUUUGUACUUAUUAACCAUUCUCACUUCCCCUUCGCUCCCCCAAUACCCUUCACAGCCUCUGGUAACCAUCCUUCUACUCUCUAUGUCAAUGAGUUCAAUUGUUUUAAAUUUUAGCUCCCACAAAUAAGUGAGACCAUGCAAAGUUUGUCUUUCUGUACCUGGUUUAUUUCACUUAACAUAAGGAC
This 2844-nucleotide long non-coding RNA is filed under the name Homo sapiens (human). RNAcentral describes it as "HSALNT0171474". The record is from RNAcentral. Lineage: Eukaryota; Metazoa; Chordata; Mammalia; Primates; Hominidae.